AACGAACGCUGGCGGCGGGCCUCAUACAUGCAAGUCGAACGUGAAAACCCUUCGGGGCGAGUAAAGUGGCGCACGGGUGAGUAUCGCGUGGGUAAUCUACCAUUCGGAUGGGAAUAACUAAGGGAAACUUUAGCUAAUACCGAGUACGCUUCAUUUCUCAUAAUGUGAGAUGAAGGAAAGAUGGGGCAACCUAUCGCCGAAUGAUGAGCCUGCGUCCCAUUAGCUUGUUGGUGGGGUAAAAGCCUACCAAGGCUACGAUGGGUAGCUGGUCUGAGAGGAUGAUCAGCCACACUGGAACUGAGACACGGUCCAG
This 313-nucleotide ribosomal RNA is filed under the name uncultured bacterium. RNAcentral's name for it is "bacterial SSU rRNA". It matches the Rfam family "Bacterial small subunit ribosomal RNA", at positions 29 to 334 of the family's 1533-position model. The record is from RNAcentral.